AUCCAGAUGACGAGUCUCAAGUGGGACGAAAUGCGCAUCCUGGAU
RNAcentral lists this non-coding RNA (45 nucleotides) under Trichobilharzia regenti. The record is from RNAcentral. Lineage: Eukaryota; Metazoa; Platyhelminthes; Trematoda; Strigeidida; Schistosomatidae.